CCUACGGGGGGCAGCAGUGGGGAAUAUUGCACAAUGGGGGAAACCCUGAUGCAGCGACGCCGCGUGAGUGAAGAAGUAAUUCGUUAUGUAAAGCUCUAUCAGCAGGGAAGAUAAUGACGGUACCUGAGUAAGAAGCCCCGGCUAACUACGUGCCAGCAGCCGCGGUAAUACGUAGGGGGCAAGCGGUAUCCGGAUUUACGGGGUGGAAAGGGAGCGUAGACGGCAGUGCAAGGCUGGAGUGAAAGGCGGGGGCUCAACCCCCGGACUGCUCUGGAAACUGUACGGCUGGAGUGCAGGAGAGGUAAGUGGAAUUCCUAGUGUAGCGGUGAAAUGCGUAGAUAUUAGGAGGAACACCAGUGGCGAAGGCGGCUUACUGGACUGUAACUGACGUUGAGGCUCGAAAGCGUGGGGAGCAAACAGGAUUAGAUACCCUUGUAGUC
This 440-nucleotide ribosomal RNA is filed under the name uncultured bacterium. RNAcentral's name for it is "partial 16S ribosomal RNA". It matches the Rfam family "Bacterial small subunit ribosomal RNA", at positions 338 to 795 of the family's 1533-position model. The record is from RNAcentral.